GUGACCUUAUGCUCAGAAGUCACCCCUAAGGUCUUGAAGGCUUUCUCUGUCUCAGUCAACCAGUACUCAACAUCUUCAAAAGAAGAUCCCCCUGCAAAAAUGGAUGGAUUUAGUCUCUUGUACCUCUCUAUGUAGUCCGGGACAAUCGUGAGAGGAAUUGGGUCCCGUGGAAAAGGGACUGGACCAUGUUGAUGGUAGACUGGAGGGCCCUAUGGUGGUACUUGUUGAUACGGCGGGGGCACCGGAUUAUACUGUGGCGGUGGUACCAGGUGGUACUGUGAAGGAGCAGGGUCAUACCAGGGUGGCUCAACCUGUGGUAAUGGGGGAGGGUCAGGUAGCUCCCUCCUCUCCUCUCGGCCCUGCUGGGCUGCAAAGAGUCUUUCUAACAACUCAAAUAUCUUGUCCACAUCUUCUCU
This 416-nucleotide long non-coding RNA is filed under the name Carica papaya (papaya). RNAcentral's name for it is "long non-coding RNA (CPAP_LNC004034)". The record is from RNAcentral. Lineage: Eukaryota; Viridiplantae; Streptophyta; Magnoliopsida; Brassicales; Caricaceae.